AAGAUGCCAGGGUCAAAAGCCUGAAACCACGAUGUGCUUGCACAGGAGUGGUUUUAUGGCUUAAUGACCCGCCCCGAUAUGAGCAUAAAAGUGGAGCGUAAGCUUCACGAUAUGCGAAUAUUGGAUAGAAUUGUGGGAGUACGAAGUACGGAACAAUUCGUAUGGCAUCUU
This 171-nucleotide non-coding RNA is filed under the name unclassified sequences. RNAcentral's name for it is "Clostridiales-1 RNA". It matches the Rfam family "Clostridiales-1 RNA". RNAcentral also lists the same sequence under 1 other name. The record is from RNAcentral.